This 330-nucleotide ribosomal RNA is filed under the name uncultured bacterium. RNAcentral describes it as "bacterial SSU rRNA". It matches the Rfam family "Bacterial small subunit ribosomal RNA", at positions 568 to 898 of the family's 1533-position model. The record is from RNAcentral.
CGCGUAGGUGGUAGUGUAAGUCUGAGGUGGAAUCCCAGGGCUUAACCCUGGAACUGCCUUGGAAACUGCAUUACUUGAGUCAGUGAGGGGAGGGUAGAAUUCCUGGUGUAGCGGUGAAAUGCGUAGAUAUCAGGAGGAAGGCCUGUGGCGAAGGCGGCCCUCUGGUGCUGGACUGACACUGAGGCGCGAAAGCGUGGGGAGCAAACAGGAUUAGAUACCCUGGUAGUCCACGCCCUAAACGGUGGGCACUAGGUGUAGGGCUUGUAAGGGUUCUGUGCCGAAGGGAAACCAUUAAGUGCCCCGCCUGGGGAGUACGGCCGCAAGGUUGAA